Long non-coding RNA from Vollenhovia emeryi, 6621 nucleotides. RefSeq lists it as uncharacterized. The transcript has 2 exons. The record is from RefSeq and is a predicted model, not a curated record. NCBI's taxonomy places the organism in Eukaryota, Metazoa, Arthropoda, Insecta, Hymenoptera, Formicidae.
ACCCGACUCUAGCCCGACUCUCACCUUCGGUGGAAACAUAUAGCGUUUUCAACUGACUGGAUCUGACAUAGCACUCGCGGAGCGUUUAACCUGAAGAUACUAGGAACACAUGUUCGACCGAAAAUGUGUUGUUAGAUUAGGUUCUAGGUACAAUAUUCUUUUUAAUUUUACGAUAAAAUCGAAAUAUUUAUUGGUAAACUUACGCGUUAUUGUCACCAAAGAAUGCUUUGUUCUACAAUAAACACGCACGUAUAACCCGAUUGUAAUCUUACAAAGCUUCUUGGCACUGAUGGAUCAAUUCACAAUGGUAUGGGUCGAACAUGGAUUGCAUUUGGGUUAUUUGUCUAGUAACCUAAAACAAAACUCGUGACGUCAUUAAUCGCUCCCAAUGAUAUCAUUAAUUCUGGCCCAGUCGAAAACGCUAAUAGUUAAUGCUGAUUCGCUGUUUCCAUAAUCAUAAUGCACGAAGAGUUAGAAAGUCACACGCUUUUCAAACGUACCUCGAUCCGUGUGCAACGUCAGAUGGAUAGGCAUUAAUGAUGCCGUGUGUGUACGUGAAAACACUACGUGCAACGAAAGCGACAUCUCGAUUAGGAUUUCGUACUAACAUCGACAACCACUUUUGAGCACAGAAUCUGGCGCAUUCGUCCAUAUAAAUUGAGCCUCCUAAUCUCUAGUCUUCAUGCACCUGGUGUCACAGAUUUCUAUACUAUACUAGGGCCUGUAUUCAUAGUCCGUUUUUAUAUUUAAGAUCAUCUUAAGUAUACUCUUAAUGUGUUUUAAACCAAUCACGGAGCCGUACUAGCAUCUUAAGACAAUACUUAAGAUGAUUUUGAAAUAAGAAUCGACUAUGAAUACGGGCCUAGAUCACUAACUUCGGGCUUUGGCCAGAGAAAAGCUGUGAUCGGCAGGAUAUCCGGUUUCGGCCAUGAAACCCGACACAUGGCGGCCGGCGGUGCGUGUGUGGUAGUGUAUAUGUGAAUACCCGACGUGUGUAUGAUACCCGCCCAGCGAGAAAAAAUAAAUAGUUCGUCUAUCAACAUUGAAACGAUGUCGAAUUGAUAUCGAUUUGAUGUUUUUGACGUCAAUUCGGCAUCGUUUCAACGUCGAUCAACGAGUCAUUUCUUGCCAUUUCAGUAAGUAAGAUGUAUUGAGUUGGCACUAAGUAAUUGCGGAUUUCACUGAUAGUUGAAUGUUUAGGUAUAUUUACAUAUUCGAAAUGUCAAACCGAUAUUGUUGUUUGAUAAUUGAUACUUUAAUUGGCAUUUCAGUACAAAAGUUGUAUCGAUCGGUUGUGUAGUUUUUGUCUGGCGUCGGUUGAAAAAUGGAAAAGCAAAACGAGUAUCUUCGUCAUAUUUCGCUUUUUACUUCCGCAAAGUAAAAAACGCAUCGCACGCUAACCAAAAGUUAUGUACUGUGUAUGGCGAUGAAACCUUAAAAGAAUGGCAAUGUCAAAAUUGGUUUGCUAAAUUUCAUUCUGGUGAGUUUUUACUCAAAGAUGAACAACGCUCUGGUUGUCCAGUUGAAAUUGAUGAUAACCAAAUCAAAACAAUAAUCGAUACGGAUCUAGGGGGAACAAACUUACUCUUGAGAAAAUGGGGGACGUACGUGAUCUGCUCUAUGACCCGGAAAGGGCGAACUAAAGUAAGUCACGUGAUAAGGAAUGGAGCAAGGUACGUGGACAUCUAUAUACAUAGAUGCGUGCAUACACAUAUACAUCGAAAUUGCUAAUAUAUUAUUAGCAAUUAAACAAAAGUGUAGAACUGAUUAUGUACGUUAUCAAGAGAGAUAAUUGAAAGAAGGUGGAGUUUAUUUGUUAAUUUAUUGGACAUACUGGGAAGAUAGUGUAAUAGCUGUUUCUCAGAUCGAGAAAACACGCUAAAUAACCUAACGGUUAAAAGACGUUCCCGUAGAGGGAGAUAGGAAAUAAACUUUAUUACUGGAUAUGUAGAAUUUUUCUUUUAAUGCAAAAGGCAUUUUUUAAAAAUCGUUUGGUGUAAUUUCCCCACAACACUUUAAAAUCGUCGCCAGUCAUCGCAAACUGUUGCAACCGAUAACCACGGUUAUCCGCCAUAACUUUAUCAAUGGUAGUGGGGGAACAACAGUGCUGCGCUCUGCCUCGUGACCCGAAGUUGUGAACUAAUCAAACUUCCGCCACCGUUAAAAUACGGAGAGUUUGUCCUCCCUGUACGGAUCGUCAUAGCACAACACGUGAGAUUGCAGAAAAGCUCGAUGUAUCACAUAGAUGCAUUGAAAAGCGUGUAAAACAACUUGGCUGCGUAAAAACUCGAUUUAUGGGUUCCUCAUGAACUUAAAGAAAUUCACUUAACACAACGCAUUAGCAUCUGCGAUUUGCUUAUGAAACGUAACGAAAAUGAUCCAUUUUUAAAUGAUCGAUAACUAGCAAUGAAAAAUAGACUGUUUAUAACAGUGUCAAUUGAAAAAGAUCGCGGAGUAAGCAAGAUGAACCCGCGUCAACAACACCUAAAGCUGAUAUUCAUUAAAAGAAGGUCAUGUUAUCAGUUUGGCGGAAUUACAAAGGAAUUAUCCAGUUUAAAAUUUGAUCACGCAAUGAAAUGAUCAAUUCAGAUGUAUACAUUGAACAACUAACCAAACUAAACGAUGCAAUUCAAUAAAAACGAUCAGAAUUGGCAAAUCGAAAAAAUACUGUGUUCGAUCCAUAGACGUAGACUACAUAGACUGCGCGUUUAGCUGAAGCAGUGUACAAAUUUUAGAAAGAGACAACAUACUUUAAGUGGUUACCCUUUAUCAUUUCCCUUACUCUUCUGUUACCCCCACUACUUAUUAGACAAAGAUGAGGCGACCACUCAACUGUCAGCUAUUUCGUUCUAAAGUUUGUACAUGUGUGGCCUUACAUGUUUGGUUGGGAUGUGUUGCUACAUCCACUAUACAUAUAGUCCUGACCUUGCACCAUCAGAUUACUAUUUAUUUCGUUCUUUGCAAAACUUCUUGAAUGGUAUAAAUUUCAAUAAUGAUGAUGUCAAAUCGUACUUGGUUCAGCUUUUUGCCAAUAAAAACCAGAAGUUUUACGAACGUGGGAUUAUGAUGCUGUCUGAAAGAUGGCAUAAGAUCAUUGACAAAAAUGGACAAUACAUUACUGAAUAGAGACAUUUCGUUCUAUAAAAAAAUUAUCUUUUGUUUUCUUUAAAAAAAUCCGCAAUUAGUUGUCAACCCAAUAUUUAUGCGUAAUAAAUUUCGGGGUUUGUAAUAUGUGAAGAUUACGUUGUAAUUAUUAACAUUAAUAAACAUUGUAUCCAGAUUUUCGAAGUGUCCAGACACUUUACAAAUGUGAAUGAAUGCAGUUGGAAGAGAUUUUAUACUCACAAAGUACAACAUAACCUUCAUAUACUUGACCGCUUGGCGCGAACGGCGGGAAUCACAAUACACACACACAUGCACGUCGGGUGUUCACAUGUACACUACCACACGUACCACCGCCAUGUUCUGUAGGAUGUCAUGGCCGACACCGGCUAUCCUGCGAAACACAGCUCUUUUGAUCAAGUUAGCGAUCUAACAUAGUACAAACAUCUGUGCCUGGCGUACAUCUUUGAACAAUUUGAACUACCAUAUAAACCAGAUUUUAGUCCUAUUCUCGAAAUAAGUUGAGUCUCCUGUCUUCUUGAUUGAAUUUUAACGAGAGUCGCGACACGCGGGUUGAUCGAUUUGCCGCCACGUGGUCACGCGCGCGCGGAUGCGUAUGUACAUAGAUAUAAAUAUCAGUAUCUUUUGCUGUAGUAGCUAAUUUACCCCGUACAUACCGGUGGUAUACCGUCACGUAUUACAAUUCCCCCUUCCGCAGUAGAGCUUUCUGCGCCCUUUAUUCCACGCGGAGAUCCACGCGGUAAAUCGGAGGACAGCAUGUAUCUUGGUAUCUAAUUACACUUGAUUCCCGACGAGUGAUACAAGUAGACUUGAUGCGUAGAUCUGACUAUGGCUACCAAUUACGGGAAGUAGAGGUGCAUUAAUGCGUGCGCGCCGACAAGCAGCGGGAAGCGCCAGUGAGGUGAGUGCGAUGUCAGGGAAUAGAUCGUUACAUUUUUUCUCCUUUUCUUUAGCAUAAUUUCUCUCCGCCCCCUUCCUUCGCUCGACCAAAAAUCGAUGUGGCGCUAAUUGCACCGCGCAAUUAUUUCGCGACGGUCGCGUUAUCGCGCUUUCGUCAAGUUGCGGAAGCUCGCGUCGAAUUCAUUCGUCACGCCUUGCAGAUAGUUAUUCAUGUAGACGGCCCUUGACACACGUAAUUCUCAUUAAUAAUUGAUCGAGCAACUUAUCCAGUCUGAAGACAUUUCCGCGGAGAGUACCCAGCCGUAUCUUAUCGAGCGUUUAAUUUCAUUUCCCUGUCUACAAUAUUACACAAUGUUGACAUUCUGUAUCAGAACUUUCACGAUACCUGUUAUCGUUGCCCGAUGCGACCUGAUACGCGAUCGAUCCCUUCGCCUACCGCAACGAUACCUUACCGAUACCUUAAACCACUCCGAAGAUCGCAUAUCGACCUUUUAAUAUCAGCAUUGCCCGUUAUUAGUAAAUCGAACUAAGAAACAUGAGAUUAUUGAUCGAAAAACUACGGUAAUAAUGCAUAUUGCAUAGAGGAGAAUUGCGUUAAUUGCAACGGAGACAGAUUAUUAUUGUACGUAAACUCGUCAAUGAGUAGUGACAAAUAAGGAGACUUAUGAGACCAAAAUGGGAAGAUUUAAUCUUUUUACAGCUGAUUUUGGGGAUACAUGCGGUUGGGAUUUAACCCUCGAUAUCAUUAAUCACGAUAUAUGGCCUAAUGUAUUAUAGAAAUCUCAUAAUAUCGAGACGGAUUAAUAGAAUUUUCUGCGUGAAAUAAAAAUUCGAUAGGGAUUCUCAUUAGUAGACGAAGUAGAUAAUUAGCAGACAAUUAGAAAUGUUUCGAGAAGAAACGACGUUUCUGAAGAAUUCUUACCAGGGAUAGGACAAGAAAUUAUGUGAUAUAAAUUAGAAUCCGUACGAAUAGAGAGACAUAACAUAUCAACUAUUUUCAUUGUUGGCAAAUUGCAUCCGUAUUUGAUUUAUAAUAUCAAAACUUGCGUGAAUUUUCCCUUUGCUUAAGUUCUAUUUGAAAAAUAAUACAAGAUCCGAGAAAAAAUACAUAUAUGACAUACAUAUGUAAAUAUGCUUAUGUAAUUAUACAAAAACACUCUGUAUAUAAAAAUGCGCCGGAGUAUUCAUGCCUGUGAUAGAACGAGAGAUACCGAUGAAUAUUCGUAGCUUUGUCGGCCUCAACACCAACAAAUUAUUACAGGAAUUGUCAUUUAUUUCCACGUGAACGCGCUAAGCAAAACUGCGGCGCAAACAAACGGGUAGAAACUGAUCGAUAUAUUAUCCGUAUUUGUAAGUCUGGAUAUUAUUUUGUGGUACCUUGUGCGCACCUCUUCGUGCACAUUAUGUUCAUAAGUGCUAAGGGAGCUAGUGAAUAGACGAGUGCUUUUUGUAUGUUUACUUCAAGUACAAAUUGUAUAAUAGUAUAUAUGAUCUAAAUAGCCUUUAAACGACAUAUUUUAGAUUAGAUGUUACUAAUUCGCAAGACGCGAACAGUAAUAUUGUUGCGAAUGCCCGUAAAGAGGGAGAUUCCAAGUUGACAUUAAAACGAUGGAAAGUGAAGUAAUUUUAAUGAUAGAUAAUACAAUAGUGUAGUAGUCUGUUUGCUUGCGCGCGUGGUCGUUUCCAUUAGCACAUCGACUAUCGCGACAAGCGACGUCAGUCGAUAGGAACGAUCUACUACGAAAAUACGUAACGUAACAUCGACUAGAAGACUUGAAAAGUUGGCACGGUUAAUCACGAUCGGAUAGUCGGUGUGUUAACCGCACAGAUCACGACAUAUCGAACCCUGCGAGGUCUUGGGCUCUAAGUGAUAAUUUAAUUCUCUAAGAGUGAUAUUGCGCGCUCGAUACUUUUGCAAGUUUAGGCCAAGUUCUAGCUGGCUGGGAUGAUCAAGGGCUUUUUUCAAAAUCGUAACAGCAUACGUCACAACGGGAGGAUGCGUAAGUCACAAAAACAUCUACCUACCCUCUCCCAAGGACAGCGUUCUACAAAGUUUUGUGCAACGGAAGAGGAGAACGGCCAAGUGCAAGAGUAUCCGAAGAGAGCGUCUCUAACUCAUCCUCGGAAGGUAUUCACGGUAGCAACGAAUCGACAAUUGUUCCCUUCGUGGGAUCACUUGAUAUCACAUUAUACCAUAUUAACUUUAUUAUUAAUGAUAUUAUCGCUAUUAUGUACAUAUAUACAUAUACAUAUAUAUAUAUAUUUUAAUCAACAUACUCAAGCCGUCGUGUAAAUCCCUCUGUGCAUUUCCAAGAUCCUCCAUACACAUUCGAAUACAAUUGUAUCGUAAGGCACCAUUCCAGAGAUAUACGUCAAAUUUUUUUAACCGAGAGAGACUUUGCGAGUUAUACAUAGCGAAAAUUUCACGGAGAAGCGAAUUGAGUGGAAAAUUUGGAAUGCAGAACCAGAUGCGUCCGGCCGAAGCACCUAAAUCACUAAUUUUCUCCUCUGUGUUAUAGUCCCCUGUCUCGUUUUAUUUAUUGAAAACGAGAAUGGGAAUGAUAAAAAAUAAAUGAUGAAACCCACGCCCUCCCAAAA